This 406-nucleotide ribosomal RNA is filed under the name uncultured bacterium. Its description in RNAcentral is "partial 16S ribosomal RNA". It matches the Rfam family "Bacterial small subunit ribosomal RNA", at positions 30 to 526 of the family's 1533-position model. The record is from RNAcentral.
AUUGAACGCUGGCGGCAGGCCUAACACAUGCAAGUCGAACGAGUGGCGGACGGGUGAGUAAUGUCUGGGAAACUGCCUGAUGGAGGGGGCUAACUACUGGAAACGGUAGCUAAUACCGCAUACCAUCGGAUGUGCCCUGACGGGAUUAGCUAGCAGGUGGGGUAAUGGCGCACCAAGGCGACGAUCCCUAGCUGGUCCGAGAGGAGGACCAGCCACACUGGAACUGAGACACGGUCCAGACUCCUACGGGAGGCAGCAGUGGGGAAUAUUGGACAAUGGGCGAAAGCCUGAUCCAGCCAUGCCGCGUGUGUGAAGAAGGUCUUCGGAUUGUAAAGCACUUUAGGUAGGGAAGCGUUACCAACAGAAUAAGCACCGGCUAACUACGUGCCAGCAGCCGCGGUAAUUC